UCGCUUCUGCCGAGGCAAGGGCGCCUGUCGCUUCUGCCGAGGCAAGGGCGCCUGUCGCUUCUGCCGAGGCAAGGGCGCCUGUCGCUUCUGCCGAGGCAUUUGAACCAGAUUCCGCACUUGAGGUACCGUGGCCGGUUGCUUCCGCUGCAGAGGCAAAGUGGCCGGUUGCUUCACCGAAGGUAUUUAGGCCAGUCGUGGCGCUUGAUGAAGCACUGUGGCAAAUUGCUUCACCUAAGGUAUUUGGGCCAGCUGCCACACUUGUCGAGGCAUUAUGGGUGGCCGCUUGCGUGGCACUGUGGCCAGUUGCUUCCUCUGCAGAGGCACUGUGGCCAGUUACUUCACCUGAGGCACUUGGGCCAGUCGUGGCGCUUGAUGAAGCAUUGUGGCCAGUUGCUUCAGCUAAGGUAUUUGGGCCAGCUACCACACUUGUCGAGGCAUUAUGGGUGGCCGCUUGCGUGGCACUGUGGCCAGUUGCUUCCUCUGCAGAGGCACUGUGGCCAGUUGCUUCACCUGAGGCACUUGGGCCAGUCGUGGCGCUUGAUGAAGCAUUGUGGCCAGUUGCUUCAGCUAAGGUAUUUGGGCCAGUCGUGACGCUUGCUGAGAUAUUAUGGGUUGCUGCUUCUGCUGAGGCACGGGAGUCGGAUACUUCACCCAAGGUAUUUGGGCCAGUCGUGACGCUUGAUGAAGCAUUGUGGCCAUUUGCUUCACCUAAGAUAUUUGGGCCAGUCGUGACGCUUGCAGAGGCAUUGUGGUUGGCCGCUUCUGAGGCAUUAUGAGUGGCCGUUUGCAUGGCACUGUGUCCAGUUGCUUCCGCUGCCGAGGCACCGUGGCCAGUUGCUUCACCUAAGGUAUUUGGGCCAGUUGCCAUUCUUGCCGAGGCAUUAUGGGUGAUGGCUUGCGCGGCCCUGUGGCCAGCUGCUUCACCUAAGGCAUUUGGGACAGUCGUGGCGCUUGAUGAAGCAUUGUGGCCAGUUGCUUCAGCUAAGGUAUUUGGGCCAGUCGUGACGCUUACAGAGGCGUUAUGGGUGGCUGCUUCACCUGCUGAGGCACGGGAGCCGGUAGCUUCACCUGUCGAGGCACGGGAGCCAGUAGCUUCCGCUGCAUUGUGGCCAGUUCCUUUUACUUGAUUUUGGGGAAUAUAUCUAUAAUUACCUACAAAAGAAAAUAAUACGUUUCAAAUUGUAAAAUGCCAGCAUUUGAAGCCAUUUAAUUUCACUGAAUUAAAUGUGCAGAACAAAACACACCUUUAGGUGGAGGAUAACAGGUUAUCCCUCCAAUUAGCAGGCAACAAAUCCAAGAAAUUCUAAAUAAAAAUAAAAACAUCCUAGUCAGUUAAAUACAGCUACCUGUAAAACAUGGAAGACAAGGGAAUCAAAC
Long non-coding RNA from Oncorhynchus tshawytscha (Chinook salmon), 1377 nucleotides. The record is from Ensembl. NCBI's taxonomy places the organism in Eukaryota, Metazoa, Chordata, Actinopteri, Salmoniformes, Salmonidae.